ACAGAGGGAAGAAGACCACGUGAAGAUGGAGGCAGAGGUUGGGGUGGUGUAUCUACAAGCCAAGGAACAACCAAGGAUUGCCCACAGCCACCAGAAGCUGGAAGAGGCAUGGAUUUUCCCUCAGUCACCAGAAGAAGCCAACCCUGCCGACACACUGAUUUCAGCCUUCUGGCCUCCAGAACUGUGAGAGAAUACAUUUCUGUUCUUCUAAGUCAUCCAGAUUGUGGUUAUUUGUUACAGCAGCCCCAGGAAACUAAUGCCUGUGCAGACUAACAACUGAUUCAUAAAAGACACCUGAACUGAUGGAGGGUUACAACCAGCGCGCCUGCCUGAGUGAGAGCUGCACCCCAGAUGGGCAGGCAGAAGCACCCGCCUCUCCCUCUUUCAUACCACAUCUCUUCCUCCUUGCGCUGGAGACUGUCCCUGAACCACAUACAGAGUUGUGUAUCUUAGCUGUAGGUCUUUCUGGUUCUGCCACAUGGGAGGUUGCCUCAGCAUGGCCAAAUGAGCGACGCUGGGUCUGCACUCAGGAUCAGAACUGGUGAGCCCUGUGCCACUGAAGUGGAGCGUGCAGCCGCUCGGCCACUGGCUCAGCCCCUUUGCUGAUGCUGGGUGUGACGGCUGCCGGGCAGGACAGGGUGGGGCCCAUCCAAGCGCUGCAGUGAACGGCAGGCAGUGUCUGCAGGGGAGGCGCAUGGCGGCCGGCAGCCCUGGCGCAGCCCGGCCUCCGCGGACAGAGCUGGAUCUUUCUUCCAGGAGGCUGUGUCCUG
This 770-nucleotide long non-coding RNA is filed under the name Equus caballus (horse). RNAcentral's name for it is "lncRNA (ENSECAG00000059348.1)". The record is from RNAcentral. Lineage: Eukaryota; Metazoa; Chordata; Mammalia; Perissodactyla; Equidae.